GAUGAACGCUGGCGGCGUGCUUAACACAUGCAAGUCGAACGGAAAGGCCACAGCUUGCUGUGGUACUCGAGUGGCGAACGGGUGAGUAACACGUGGGUGAUCUGCCCUGUACUUCGGGAUAAGCUUGGGAAACUGGGUCUAAUACCGGAUAGGAAUCACAUGUGGGUGUGUGGUUGGAAAGCUUUUGCGGUAUGGGAUGAGCUCGCGGCCUAUCAGCUUGUUGGUGGGGUAAUGGCCUACCAAGGCGUCGACGGGUAGCCGGCCUGAGAGGGUGUACGGCCACAUUGGGACUGAGAUACGGCCCAGACUCCUACGGGGGGCAGCAGUGGGGAAUAUUGCACAAUGGGCGCAAGCCUGAUGCAGCGACGCCGCGUGGGGGAUGACGGCCUUCGGGUUGUAAACUCCUUUCGUCAGGGACGAAGCGAAAGUGACGGUACCUGGAUAAGAAGCACCGGCUAACUACGUG
This 466-nucleotide ribosomal RNA is filed under the name uncultured bacterium. RNAcentral's name for it is "partial 16S ribosomal RNA". It matches the Rfam family "Bacterial small subunit ribosomal RNA", at positions 28 to 507 of the family's 1533-position model. The record is from RNAcentral.